This 309-nucleotide unclassified non-coding RNA is filed under the name plant metagenome. Its description in RNAcentral is "partial contains 5.8S ribosomal RNA, internal transcribed spacer 2, and large subunit ribosomal RNA". The stretch from base 1 to 105 matches the Rfam family "5.8S ribosomal RNA", at positions 50 to 154 of the family's 154-position model. The record is from RNAcentral.
GAAAUGCGAUAAGUAGUGUGAAUUGCAGAAUUCAGUGAAUCAUCGAAUCUUUGAACGCACAUUGCGCCCCUUGGUAUUCCAUGGGGCAUGCCUGUUCGAGCGUCAUUUGUACCCUCAAGCUCUGCUUGGUGUUGGGUGUUUGUCCCGUCUCCGCGCGUGGAGUCGCCCCAAAGUGAUUGGCAGCCGGCGUACUGGUCCCGGAGCACAGCACAUGUCGCGCAAACGAGUGCCUUGGUACGGCGGCGUCCAUAAGCCCCUCUCUCACGCUCUUGACCUCGGAUCAGGUAGGGAUACCCGCUGAACUUAAGC